Oncorhynchus keta (chum salmon) is the source of this 747-nucleotide long non-coding RNA. RefSeq lists it as uncharacterized. The record is from RefSeq and is a predicted model, not a curated record. The transcript has 4 exons. Lineage: Eukaryota; Metazoa; Chordata; Actinopteri; Salmoniformes; Salmonidae.
GGAAACAGGGACGCAUUUCUACAGUAUUGAAGCAGGGCCUGAGCUUUAGCUGUGUUGCUAUGGAAACCAGUCCAGGUGUGAAGUUAGGUUUUAAAACAAGAAGACACACAACAGGACUGUUUGGAUCAGGAGUCUGACAUGGCACCCUGUUCUGUGGUAGUGCACUACAUUGGAGCAGAGGGCCCUGUUUACAAAGGUAGUGCACUACAUUGGAGCAGAGGGCCCUGUUUACAAAGGUAGUGCACUACAUUGGAGCAGAGGGCCCUGUUUACAAAGGUAGUGCACUACAUUGGAGCAGAGGGCCCUGUUUACAAAGGUAGUGCACUACAUUGGAGCAGAGGGCCCUGUUUACAAAGGUAGUGCACUACAUUGGAGCAGAGGGCCCUGUUUACAAAGGUAGUGCACUACAUUGGAGCAGAGGGCCCUGUUUACAAAGGUAGUGCACUACAUUGGAGCAGAGGGCCCUGUUUACAAAGGUAGUGCACUACAUUGGAGCAGAGGGCCCUGUUUACAAAGGUAGUGCACUACAUUGGAGCAGAGGGCCCUGUUUACAAAGGUAGUGCACUACAUUGGAGCAGAGGGCCCUGUUUACAAAGGUAGUGCACUACAUUGGAGCAGAGGGCCCUGUUUACAAAGGUAGUGCACUACAUUGGAGCAGAGGGCCCUGUUUACAAAGGUAGUGCACUACAGUGGAGCAUAGGGCCCUGUUUACAAAGGUAGUGCACUAUGGAGGGAAUAGGGUGCCAG